CCCCUAGUAGUGGCGAAUGAAGCGGGAAAAGCUCAAGUUUGAAAUCUGGCAGGCGACUGUCCAGAGUUGUAAGCUGGAGAGGUUUCAUCCGACGCGGUCCGGGCUCAAUUUCCUUGGAACAGGAGGUCAUGGAGGGUGAGAACCCCGUACAUGGCUUGGGUGCCGCAGUCCUAGUGAUGGUUCCUCUAAGAGUCGGGUUGUUUGGGAAUGCAGCUCAAAAUGGGUGGUAAAUUUCAUCUAAAGCUAAAUAUUGGCGAGAGACCGAUAGCAAACAAGUAGAGUGAUCGAAAGAUGAAAAGUACUUUGAAAAGAGAGUGAAACAGUACGUGAAAUUGUUGAAAGGGAAGCGUUUGGCAUCAGCCCAUGAUGGUCAUCGAACAUCCUGGCUUCUGCCUGGUGCACUCGAUGGCCAUUGGGCCAGCGUCGGCUCUGCCAGCUGGAGAAAGGCCUUGGACAAGUGGCUCCUUUUCGGGAGCGUUAUAGCCCAUGGCGUCAUGCAGCUUGGUGGGGCCGAGGUCCGCGGGUUUUCCUAGGACGCUGGCGUAAUGGUUCCAAGCGACCCGUCUUGAAACACGGACCAAGGAGUCUAACAUCUAUGCGAGUGUUUGGGUGUCAAGCCCGACCGCGCAAUGAAAGUGAAUGCAGGCGGGAGCCCCUUGAGGGUGCACCGCCGACCGGUCCAGGGGUUUACCGAAGGAUCUGAGUAAGAGCAUAGCUGUUGGGA
This 724-nucleotide ribosomal RNA is filed under the name uncultured Archaeorhizomycetes. Its description in RNAcentral is "eukaryotic LSU rRNA". It matches the Rfam family "Eukaryotic large subunit ribosomal RNA", at positions 77 to 814 of the family's 3401-position model. The record is from RNAcentral. Lineage: Eukaryota; Fungi; Ascomycota; Archaeorhizomycetes.